AUGGUGGACGCUUGGCUGACAUCCCCUGAAUUCGGAAAACUCCAGCAGUUCGAGUUCUACCAUUACCAUGAAAGUUUCAUACCACGAACACAUCAAGAAUUCGUGCCCACACCACCGUUGUCUAUCUCGCGGUUUUCCUCCUCUCUCCACACCGCCACCUUCACCUGGUGCUAUCUACCAAACGAUCUGGUACAAAUGCUUCAACUCCUACUGCUAAAAAAACUUCCGCUUGUGGUGGUUUAUCUGUCAGAGGCCUCACUGCACGGCAUCAUCCACUCCAGUUGCCCUGCCCUGGAGCGCCUGCUGAUUGUUUUGGGAAUAGAAAUCCCUAUCAGUUGUCUCCAAAUAAAGUCGCCUCACCUUAAAAGCAUUGGAAUUUGUUUUGAAGGACAGCAGCUCAUCAUCGAAGAUUCCCCUUCACUUCAAAGGUUGCUCCUUGAUAAUUGUUAUAAACCUUCGCAAAUAAUUGUCGUCUCUAUGCCCAAACUGGAGACCUUGGGUGUAAUUCGUGAUCCGUUUAAUGAUCACAGGAAGUUGGUGUUUGGCUCCUCACUUUUUCAGGUACCGUAUAUUAUCAUCUACACAUUUGUAAUCAUAAGCUGCAUUUUUCAUUUGUGCGCAUAA
RNAcentral lists this ribosomal RNA (624 nucleotides) under Triticum aestivum (bread wheat). Its description in RNAcentral is "partial small subunit ribosomal RNA". Lineage: Eukaryota; Viridiplantae; Streptophyta; Magnoliopsida; Poales; Poaceae. The record is from RNAcentral.